This is a long non-coding RNA of Notolabrus celidotus (New Zealand spotty), 355 nucleotides long. RefSeq lists it as uncharacterized. The transcript is spliced from 4 exons. The record is from RefSeq and is a predicted model, not a curated record. Lineage: Eukaryota; Metazoa; Chordata; Actinopteri; Labriformes; Labridae.
CAUCUCUCCUGUCCUGUGUGGCUUUUAUCGCCCUAAAGGUGUAAAAUCACACACUGAGAAACCAUUACUACCCCGUCUUAGGGCUAAAUGUAAGUACAAAGGCAAAGUGAUGGCAGACUAGUUGGGAUUCAAAUUCAGUUUACAAGAUGAGGGAAUUCGUGGCUUCAGAACAUCCCUCCCUUUCUGGAAAGCUAAGGGCGCCAGUGUGGCUUAGUGGUUAGAUCGCACGCCCCAUAUAGAGGCUCUUGCCGUCAAAGGAGUGACCUCGGUUCAUGGCCAACCUGCAGCCUUUUGCAGCAUUCCCCACUCCACUUCCCAGUUUCCUGCUCUAUCCAUCGUCCUAUCUCUUCCAAUA